This 253-nucleotide ribosomal RNA is filed under the name uncultured prokaryote. RNAcentral describes it as "partial 16S ribosomal RNA". It matches the Rfam family "Bacterial small subunit ribosomal RNA", at positions 524 to 776 of the family's 1533-position model. The record is from RNAcentral.
UACGAAGGGGGCGAGCGUUGUUCGGAAUCACUGGGCGUAAAGCGUGCGUAGGCGGCGAUGAAAGUUAGGAGUGAAAGCCCAGGGCUUAACCUUGGAAUUGCUUUUAAAACUACAUCGCUCGAAUUCGGGAGAGGAUAGCGGAAUUGUCAGUGUAGCAGUGAAAUGCGUAGAUAUUGACAGGAACACCAGUGGCGUAAGCGGCUAUCUGGACCGACAUUGACGCUGAGGCACGAAAGCGUGGGGAUCAAACAGG